UGAAAUAUUAAGACGGAUAUUCGAAAAUAGAUGAAAUUAAUGAUUAUUCUAAUUUGUGACGUAAUCACGAUUCAAUAUGUCGGCCAUUAAUUUGUUUUCUCAUCAUCCAUCGAAAUUCGUUUAUGAUAUUUAGCUAGAUAUGUAAAAAAGCAUUGCGUAGCGAAUAAUUAUUUAUCAAAUAAACAAAUAUUAGUGAAAAAUAGUUUAACGUAUCAUGGUAAUGAGAUUUCUAUAAUUUCUAUUACUAUUCUUAUACGUUAAACGCUUCCUUUUCUUUCUGUAAUUGCGUAGUUCGAAUAUCCGUUAAUAUUUCUUAUUGUAAAAGUGAAUGUUUCCAAUGAAUAUUUCCAAGAACGCAAAUUACGCAAAGUUUACAUUUUUCUUUGUGCUAGAUCGAGCAGCUUGUAUAUAUUUUUAGAUUAUACUUAUAGGCAGUUCGUCUUUGUUGACGUUUUUUUCCCUGUUACGUUGGACGAUAUGAGGUUGCUCGCUAGUGCUACACAUACCUCAGUCUCCUUUUCUCUUUCGAACGUGUUCGAACGUGUUCUCGUAUUCUCCAUUUCGAGAUUAUUUUUCGAUCGCCGGACGAACAUUUUAAGAGACAGUUUGAUGGAUAUCGUUGCUCUUAAUCGACCUAUUUUUUCAAACUUAUAUCCCGGUAUUUCUGUGACGUUGAUUCUCGGUAGUGACGAGUUCGAGAAAAGCGGCGUGCCUUCGUAAAAUGCUUCGAUUCACCGUCACGACACAUUUUUCUGAUAAGUUGGUGGCUCGCAGGGAGGAUGCAUAGACAUAGGAUCGAAGGACGGAACGCAUCGGGAACAUGCAGCCAGGGAAAUGCUAGGCGGCACGAGGGAUAUCAUCCCUACGGAUCUAUCUUGGCCCACCGCAAAAGACAUGGUAGCUGGGACGAAGAUUAAACAUCGUGGAUGGAUGGAAGUGGAACGAAGAAGUGGCUCGAUUUGCGCGGACGACGAGGAUCGCUGCGCUUUUCAAUGAACGAAUACAACUCCUCCGCGUAAAUAUUUAUCGCGAAUAAUCCAAGCGUGUAGCCUUCUCUCUCUUCUCUCUCUCUCUCUCUCUCCCCACGUACUCUUCCUCUCUGACCCUGAGGGACAUUCUUGGCAUGACGCGUAAGAUCUAUCUUGACGAGAAACGAGAAGAGAGAGAGAGAGAGAGAGACACGGGUCUGAGAGAAAAGCUUAGGCUGGUGAGCCACGGGGUUUUGAGCACGAAGUUUACACAUUGUCAUUUGGGACACGGCGUAAACCGGAGGAGGAAGAGAGCGAGAAAGAAGGAGAGGCUUGCGGCCGAGGUCCGCGAGGAGGAAAGUUUGGAGUGGAAAGGGGGAGAAAGAUGGUGGCGUAAAGCGAGAGGGAGGAAGGGAGAAGGGAAGAAGGAAGAGGGAAAAGAGGGAGAAUUUUAGAGAGGGUUGAACGGGGAUAGAGAGAGAGAGAUGGAGAGGAGAGGGGGCGAUCCGAGUGGAGAGAGAAUGGCGGAGACGGAGAAAGGGUAAAACGGAGUCCUUGGUGGACCACUAGGAUCCAUCCCCACGUAGCUCCCGUCUUCCGUGCAGGGGUUACUCGGGUGGAAGGGAUAUUCAGGGGAAGAUUAGAGGGGUGGGGGUGCUAUAUAAGGCCGGCGCAAGGGGGGGAGAGCUCAGUUCGUCCAAGAGAAGCGUAUCGGUCACGUCGUUGCGACGAUCGUUCGACGAGAAUCUCACGGAGCACGGGACUCUUGUCUCCACGUACGCACACACCUACGCAUACAUGUAUGUACGCACGCACGCACGCACGUACGCACAUACAUGCACACACAUAUACACGUACGCACACACAUACACACGUACAUAUACGACGCCGUGCUUGUCGCCGCAAGAGAGGACGCAACAAGACGCAAGGACCACGCAAGGAUUCCAGGUGUUUUCGACCACGUUUCGGGAGCAAAACGUGCUGCGACGAGGAACGAGAAAGUAACCAAAAUUGUACGUGCACGAUGGGAGCAGAAGAAGAGAAAAAGGGGAACGCAAUUAUUAUCACCGGCUUCUUCUCUUCAUCAACGCGAUCACCGGCCACUGCCGCUCUCCAGUUCACACUUGAACGGCUUCGAAGCUUCAUCGAACGCUGCGAAUUUGCAAAUCUAGAAAACAGCUGGCACGAGCGAAGGUCACCGGCCAUGGAAUAUAAUUAGUCCGACACUUAUGGAACGUCAGGCCAGCUAUGGUUCGCAGUGGCCGCAACGAGGUAGACGAGGUAGUGGUCUAGGCACUUGGAGAUCGGCCUUUGCUCGACACGUGUGCCCAUGGACAACGUUAUUUCCUUCUCGAAUACUGGGUCCUUGGUCCGAAUCGUAUGCCACUCGCACCGCCAUAAAAGGAACGAUCGGGAAAUGGGCAGCUGAUGAUCAAUAUGAUCGGGGGGGGAAGGGAAAAAAAUAUUUCAAGAGUAAUCGGCUAUUUUUCAGAAGAAGCAGAAACUUCCUAGCGAACCUCCUCUCUCUCCUCCAUUAUGGUAUUAACUCGGGACUACACUCGGGAUGGAUCGAUCAUUCAAGGAAGCCUUGGACGAAUCUGUGGAUUUUCCAAAUAGGAGGCAACCGAUGGUGAGACUACGUGGUAAUUGCGACAGUUGUAAUUACCAGUGUAUUAACCGUUGCAAAUGUCGAAAGAGCCAACCUCGAGCCCGCAAGGUUUCCCCCGUAAAUAGGGGAAGAAGAUUGUCCAAUUAACUGUCUCGUUUAAUUGAAUCUUAUUUCCUUUUCACUUGGUCCAGUUUCAUUGGGGCUUCUGCGCUUUAUCGCGUGAGUCGAAUGUAAUGCACAGCGAGGUCGGAAGCUUGGCCGAAGAACAACCCACGACAAAAGAGGGAUCGAGUUGAACGUCGCGGGAUAUUUUUGGCCAUACUCCCGCCCACUCCAGCCUUCGACAGCUCGCAAAUUGUCGUCGUCGAGUGGCGCGUGAAUAUCGUGGAAACGGACUACCGUUCUACUCGUUUAAUGCCCGUUUAGGCGCGCAGGGUAUUCUUUCAAAUUUUUUUCAGACAAUUCGUUUUGCUGCCGGUGGAACGAGGAAGAGGAGCAAGGGAUGAAGAUGGAGGUGGGAGGGGGUGGGAGAGAGCUCGAGGAGAGAAAGGAGGAUAGGAAGGAGCAAUUCCUCGGGACGAGACGAGACGGGACGAGACGAGACGAGACGAGACGGAGGUGAAGGUAUUCUUUUUAAGGCGGAACACUUUACUGCUGCUCGUUCCACGCUGGUAAUGGAGAAUCCCCCAGCCGCCCCAACGAAUUAAUUCGGGGCUAACGCCGAGACACUCCCCGAUAUCGAGUCACUUCGUUCCACGGGCCAGUAUUCUCACGCCGAGGAAGAAUCAAUGGGAUUCCUCUUUCCUCCACACGACGCACAAAGCACGUGCCAUUCGCCGCAGAAUCCACUUCUCUCUGAAAUUCUUGCCUCGGCGAGCGUCUCCUUUCCUCCAAUGAAAAUUCAGAAGAUUCCAUGGGAAAAUCAAAAAAUCAAAAUCCAAGAGAUGGCUCGAGUGCAGGGUGCCUUCCGAAGCAUCUGUGGAAGCGCGCGCAAAAGAGAUGAGCGUGAUCGGGGCGCGAGGAGAAGAGAGGUUGUGCAGCGCAACAGAGAAGGGGAGAAGCGAGAAAGAGAGGGAAAUUCAAAGAUGGCGCCACGCGUGUGCCUGACAGAGACGAGGAACGGGAGCUAAAGCGAGGCAACCGCCUUCGCUUCUUUCCCCUCUCGCGUUUGGCGAAGAGUGACCGGCCCGAAAAGUCCGAAUCCGAUCGUAGAAUGGCUCAGUAGUGCGCGAGACACAUUUCGUGACGCGUGCUCGUCGUUGGUAUCGAUAUCUUUCGAUGAUUCACGAGCAUUGCGACGAGAGUACGCGGCGACCAAUCCCCGGUUCCGUUACAUCAGCAUCCGACUACGUGGGUCCUCGACGAUUGGCUCUCUCUGUGCUGCGUUCGAGUUCUCUCUCUCUUGCACGCGUUACAGCCAGAAUAGGAGGAAAAAAGAUACUCGCCGCUUGUGUUUCCUCGCGGUGCGGCUUAUUCUCGAACUAGAUACAUACUACUACGCGCAUCGUGCUAUUUGCCGAGGAGCGUGUGCAUUUUCGUUUAACCAGAUUUUCGGUGGAUAACGUGGAGGAAAUACGCGUAGAGAGAUUUUCGACGGCGAGGAGAAACGGGAGGAAGACACGAGCCAGCAGCCGAGCGACAGACAGAGUGAGAGGAAGGGAAGUUAGAGGGAGAGCAGCAGAGUACGGGGUAUUUUGGACGCAGAUCGAUCGGUCGCUCUCCGGUUCGCGCCAUGUGACCGGUCAAAGACCAGUCUGCAUGGGAUAGGAGGUUAGAAACUUAUUCGGUGUCCUCCGAGUGUGUAAUCGCGUGGCUGUCUGUUCGUUCGCGAUGAAUCGAGAAAAUGGGAUCUGUCGAGUGAUGUAGUAGUGUCAGUAGCGCGUGAGCCAGUGAACGAGGUAGCCGUUUUUUUCGUAGAGCGUUUAUCGGACAUUCGCGUAUCGCGGUGGUGGGCUUGGAGGAGCAUGAUCGUGAGGGAAAAGAGAACCGAUUUUACCGCGAAGGAAUGUCGUUGUCUCGGGUCAGAUGUAAAAAUAAAAGGAAGCAGACUUAUGUCUCAAGGCUAUCGGACCACAUAUUGUCUCAAACCAGGGGCGUAAAAUCACGCGGUUGUCUCCCUGCACGCUGUUUAUUUCAUUUCGCCGAUAUCCUCGUAUAAUCGCGCACAUCCAUUAUCAUUAUCUCGUUAGUACAUGAUUUCAUUAUCUGACACGUAUACUGUGUUACUAAAUUCUUUCGAAAAGAAUGUUCCGUAGCAUUUAUUUUUUUCUUGGUUAAGGAUAAUAAUGUUCUUUCUACUGUCCACUGUUUCAUUGUCGUUUAUUAUAUUUUUUUUAUUUACGUCACGAAUAUAUUCGAAAUAAUUAAUUAUCUCGUUGAAAAAUUAACGACGAUUUUAAAAUUUCUUUUCUUCGUUUCUAACAUAUUUUCGUGAUACUUUGUUUUCGGUAAUGGAAGAAUUCCGCGGCAUAGAACAAAGAAAAAGUCGGUACUACGUGAAUUUUUAUGAGAUUCGUUGCGAAAAAGAAAGUAAGAAUAUAAACAAUCGUAUUACUGCAUUUAAUCAUGUAUGAUCUUCAAAAAUAAUUUCUCUUCAAACUUAAUAAAUAAAUUCUCUCUUGUUAAAUUUACAAAUUAGAAAACACGUGGUCUGACACGUGUUUCUGGAACUUUACGAAAGAAUUCUGUAACAUCUUGAAUCGUUGUUACUUUGUUUAGAAAGACACACAUUUUUAUUUCCAUGUUACAUUAUCAAUUCGAUUUUACAAUAUCGAUGGAAAAUUAUUUAAUGAUUUAAUGUGGAGAAUUGUUAUAUAUUAUUUUUUUUAUAUGUAUAAGCGAUUGUACGAGAUUAAAAUAUCAAGGCAAUUUUAGAAGCUAUAUAUACGUAUAUUGCGUGGAUUAAUAGAUAACGCGUGCUUAUCUAGGAAAGUAGUAUUUGACUACCAGAACCUUGUAUUUCAGAUUAACCUCUUUAAAGCAGGAUUUGUUAAGAAGUUUAGGAGAAAAUAUGUGAUUAUUUUUUACUUUUCUAAGAAAAAUAACGCAUGUAUAUUACGUGGAUUACUACUACCUAUUUGAACUAUUGAAGAACUUUGAGAGAUAAUUUUAUACAGAAAUAGAAAUAUUUAUUUUCGAUAAU
RNAcentral lists this long non-coding RNA (5719 nucleotides) under Apis mellifera (honey bee). RNAcentral describes it as "uncharacterized LOC100577428, transcript variant X4". Lineage: Eukaryota; Metazoa; Arthropoda; Insecta; Hymenoptera; Apidae. The record is from RNAcentral.